Molecule: ribosomal RNA, 434 nt
Filed under: uncultured Lachnospiraceae bacterium
Lineage: Bacteria; Bacillati; Bacillota; Clostridia; Lachnospirales; Lachnospiraceae
Description: bacterial SSU rRNA
Rfam family: Bacterial small subunit ribosomal RNA
Source: RNAcentral
ACGGAAGGCAGCAGUGGGGAAUAUUGGACAAUGGGGGAAACCCUGAUCCAGCGACGCCGCGUGAGUGAAGAAGUAUUUCGGUAUGUAAAGCUCUAUCAGCAGGGAAGAUAAUGACGGUACCUGACUAAGAAGCCCCGGCUAACUACGUGCCAGCAGCCGUGGUAAUACGUAGGGGGCAAGCGUUAUCCGGAUUUACUGGGUGUAAAGGGUGUGUAGGCGGCAAGGCAAGUCAGAAGUGAAAUACCGGGGCUCAACUCCGGAGCUGCUUUUGAAACUGCCAUGCUGGAGUCCAGGAGAGGCAGGCGGAAUUCCUAGUGUAGCGGUGAAAUGCGUAGAUAUUAGGAAGAACACCAGUGGCGAAGGCGGCCUGCUGGACUGGAACUGACGCUGAGGCACGAAAGCGUGGGGAGCAAACAGGAUUAGAUACCCUGGUA